UGGCGUCCAGCUUGGGGGGCGGCGUCCCGUGCCUGUCACAGUCGUGGUGGUGCUUUGUCUAUUGGCAUAGCAUCGGGCGUCUUGGUGGGCACUGGGGCUGCCAUGCSCAAGUGAAGGCGUGUGAGUGGCAUUGGGCUCGGGUGGUCGCGCAGGCUCCCUGCUGUUGCAGCGAACUGUGUGGCCCCGAUCCUCCUCAUCGUUGUUGCCUCGAUUGACCCUGCGCGCGAGGUGCGGAGAUGGUUCUUGUGUUGCUUACCGAUUUCGGCGGAAUUGUGUCCUCGGAUAUUCUCGGUCCGUUUAUUGCACUGCCGGUGCGAUGCGGCGUGAAAGAGGCCCCCCAUUGUCCGCCCGUGGCUUGCCUCGGCUUGCCGUAGGGACGGGCAUGGGGGCGUCAUCUAGUUCUCGUGGGUUUGGAAGACUAUGCGGGCGUCGGGCUUGGUCCUUCGUACGYCCGGUAAGUGUGUCGAUGCGAACGAYUGUCGCUCCCGCCCGGGCUUCCCAUCGAAAGGUGGCGAUGCCCUCGCGAGGACGAUGUCGGUGAGGAAUGC
This 548-nucleotide unclassified non-coding RNA is filed under the name Loranthus tanakae. RNAcentral's name for it is "partial external transcribed spacer". The record is from RNAcentral. Lineage: Eukaryota; Viridiplantae; Streptophyta; Magnoliopsida; Santalales; Loranthaceae.